This 1439-nucleotide long non-coding RNA is filed under the name Mus musculus (house mouse). RNAcentral describes it as "predicted gene 12022 (Gm12022)". The record is from RNAcentral. Lineage: Eukaryota; Metazoa; Chordata; Mammalia; Rodentia; Muridae.
ACUGGGAAUUUCUGUGUUACCAAAGACUGCAUCUCAAUGUGCUUGAGCCUGAGACCAAAGCAGAGAUGAUAAUGAUGUCAGUGUGUUCAGAAGUACAUGGGCAGGAGGCACUAUGUCAUAUAAUGGACUAGAAGAAAGCACUACAGAGGACCAGUAAAGAUGUGAGCACUGCCCUGUGAGCUGCUCCUGCUCAGAAGUUCGGUCACAAAGUCAAUGGGUUCCCAGAAGGCCUGCUCUAAUCCAGGAUACACAGCUCCAUCAGUCUCUUGGGAGACUGCCUUUAAUCCAAGACAUCAAGGCCAGCUAAUAUCAGAGACAGCCAGAUGGUGAAAGGCAAGUGCAAGAACAUAACCAACACAACCCAAUUCAAUAUGGUACCAUCAGAACCCAGCUCUUCUACUACAGCAAGUCCUGGAUAUCCUAACACAUUAGAAGAGAAAUUGUGACUUUAAAUCUCAUCUAAUGAAGAUAAUAGAGGCCUUUAAAGAGGAUAUAAAUAAUUCCCUUAAAUGAGUUCAGGAAAACACAGUAAAAUGGUGGAAGCCCUUAAAGAGGAAACAAAAAGUCCCUUAAGGAAAUGCAAGAAAAAACAACCAAACAGGUGAAGGAUAUGAAGCAAUGAAGAAAACACAAAUGAAAGCAACCCUGGAGAUAGAAAAAUCUAGGAAAGAGAAUAGGAACUACAGACAUGAACAUUAAUAACAGAAUACAAGAGAUGGAAGAGAGAAUCUCAGGUGCAGAAGAUACCACAGAAGAAAUUAAUAAAUUGAUCAAAGAAAAUGCAAAGUAUCAAAAGUUCUUAAUCAAAAACUUCUAGGAAAUUUGGGACACAAUGAAAAGACCAAACCUAAGAAUAAAAGGAAUAGAAGAGGUUUAAGAUACCCAGUUCAAAAGGUCAGAAAAUAUCUUCAAUAAAAUCAUAGAAGAAAAUUCCCUAACCUAAUGAAAGAGAUGGCCAUAAACAUACAAGAAACCUAUAAAACACCAAAUAGAGUUGGCAAGAAAAGGAAAUUCUUCAGCCGCAUAGUAAUUAAAAACACUAAAUGUACAGAACAAAGAAAGAACAUUAAAGGUUGUGAAGAAUAAAACAAAGUAACAUAUAAAGACAGACCUAUCAGAAUUAUACCUGAUUGCUCAACAGAGACUCUAAAAGUCAGAAGAUCCUGGACAGAUGACUUGCAGACCCUCAGAGAUAACAGAUACCAGCCCAGACUACCAUAUCCAGCCAAACACUCAAUCACCAUAGGUGGAAAAACCAAGAUAUUACAUGACAACACCAAAUUUAAACAAUAUAUUUCUACUAAUCCAUCCCAACAGAGGAUACUAGAAGAAAAACUCCAACAAAAGGAGGGUAAAACUACACUCAAGAAAACACAAGAAGUCAAUCAUCUCACAAAAAACUUAAAAGAAGAGAAUCAAACACAGACAGUAUUAUUUCC